RNAcentral lists this long non-coding RNA (646 nucleotides) under Calidris pygmaea (Spoon-billed sandpiper). Its description in RNAcentral is "lncRNA (ENSCPGG00000010130.1)". The record is from RNAcentral. Lineage: Eukaryota; Metazoa; Chordata; Aves; Charadriiformes; Scolopacidae.
GCGGCACCCGGGACGCGCGGCUCCCCCUGGCUGCGCGGCGGCGGGGGGUGAGGGGGGCGGAGGGAUGGAGGGCGGGAGCCGCGCUGGUGAGGAGGAGCCGCCGCCGCCGCCUCAUCCUGCGGCACCGGCCGGCGGCGUGAGGAGCCCGGCGAGCGCAGGCUUUAGUCAGGUGAUCGCUGAUGACUAGUCAGCCCACCAAGAAGGGAGUUCAGCACACAGACUGAAAGGUUGUUUCAAAUGAUCACCACUUGAGAUGAUCAGGAAAUGUUCAGUUUGACUGAUGGCAUGAGAGUAGCAGUUCUGCCCUGACAUUGGUUAGGUGAAGGACUGAAGUAGGCUUUUCAUUUUAUGCAUGUGAGGAACGCUGCUGACCUCAGCAGGACUGCGCAUGCCUUCAGAGGUAAGUAAGUAAUCAUGCGUCUUGAUGAAUUAAAUGAUUUUCCUUGAGAUUGCUCCUGCAGGUUGAUAUCACUCUUGGAAAGGGGGCUUAGGCAAUCAGAUCACAAAGGCUCUAAAACACAGAGCAGUGGGGCCUGGUUGCUGCUAAAAUCUAGUCCUAAUUAUGGACCCUGCUUUCACAAAACAUUGACACAAUAGAGCUUUUUGUUCCUAUUACCAAAUAAAAGGAACAAAAUCCCUUAAUUCA